This 285-nucleotide ribosomal RNA is filed under the name uncultured bacterium. RNAcentral describes it as "partial 16S ribosomal RNA". It matches the Rfam family "Bacterial small subunit ribosomal RNA", at positions 335 to 634 of the family's 1533-position model. The record is from RNAcentral.
ACUCCUACGGGGGGCAGCAGUGGGGAAUGUUGGGCAAUGGGCGCAAGCCUGACCCAGCAACGCCGCGUGAAGGAAGAAGGCUUUCGGGUUGUAAACUUCUUUUCUCAGGGACGAAGCAAGUGACGGUACCUGAGGAAUAAGCCACGGCUAACUACGUGCCAGCAGCCGCGGUAAUACGUAGGUGGCAAGCGUUAUCCGGAUUUACUGGGUGGAAAGGGCGUGUAGGCGGGGACGCAAGUCAGAUGUGAAAACCACGGGCUCAACCUGUGGCCUGCAUUGGAAACU